Molecule: unclassified non-coding RNA, 390 nt
Filed under: Hevea brasiliensis (rubber tree)
Lineage: Eukaryota; Viridiplantae; Streptophyta; Magnoliopsida; Malpighiales; Euphorbiaceae
Source: RNAcentral
UUUUUUUUUUCUGUAACAGAGCAAGAACUACAAAAUUGAACUUUAUAUUAGUACACAUUGGCAUUAUAAAGCCUGUUUCUUCUAUAGCUCUCUUCCUAAACCUAUCUCUGCCUGCUUUGUUACUUGAUUACUUUAACAAACCUUAACAAGUUAAGCCACUCAUUGGAACAUUUGGGGUUGAAAAAAAUAUAUCAAGCUUCCAAGAAAAAAUUAUGCAUUCCUAUUCUAACAACGUACUCUGUUAAUUUAGAGUCGCAAGCCAAAUGGUGGACUCGCUUACUACCUCCUUCGCCUGUUAAUAUUGGACUCAAAAGCCAAACAGAGACUUUCUCCUACUUCCACCUUCGCCAUAUUGGUCAUUCCAUUUUCUCAGCUCAUUCAUGCUUGCAG